This 817-nucleotide ribosomal RNA is filed under the name Monopylocystis disparata. RNAcentral's name for it is "SSU rRNA". It matches the Rfam family "Eukaryotic small subunit ribosomal RNA", at positions 847 to 1639 of the family's 1831-position model. Lineage: Eukaryota; Heterolobosea; Eutetramitea; Lyromonadida; Psalteriomonadidae. The record is from RNAcentral.
GGUUGUUCUGCAACCGGUACAGACAAUAGAAUCAGGAACAGGCUUUCGGUAUUUACUGAUGAGGGGUGAAAUCCGUAUAGUUCGUAAGGACCCACGGAGGCGAAAGCGGAAAGCUAGUACUGGUUCAUGUGAUGAGGAACGAGAGCCAGGGGAGCAAAGAUGAUUAGAUACCGUCGUAGUCCUGGCUGUAAACUAUACAAAUUAGAGAUUGUAUGAAACCAUCUAACAGAUUCUUACAGGAUCCCCCGAGAAAUCCUAAAUUUUUGUGUUCUUGGGGGAGUAUAUUCGCAAGAACGAAACUUAAAGGAAUUGACGGAAAUUCACCACCAGGAGUGGAUUCUGCGGCUUAAUUCGACUCAACGCGUGGAAACUUACCAGAACCAGACUAUGGAAAGAUUGACAAGCUAAUGACUUUUCUUGAUUCGUAGAAUAGUGGUGCAUGGUCGUUCUCAGUUCGUGGAUUGGUCUGUCUACUUAAUUGUGAUAACGAGCGAGACCUCCGUUAUUAAUUAGCAACUCCGUAUUCCUAUUAUUGGAAUUGGUAUUGGGUUAUAAAACCCAUCUUCUUAAUAAGACUCUAUUCGAUUAAUAAAACAGAAUAGGGAAGUUGGAGGCCAUAACAGAUCUGUUAUGCCCUUAUAUAUUCUGGGCGGCACGCGUAAUACAAUGUUUUUGCCAACGAGUUAAAGGCUACUCGCCGUACCAAGUUUGUUAAGACGAGGAAAGCUUUUGCAAUCCUUUAUUUCAAGGCUGGGAUUGAAGAUUGUAAGUUCUUCAUGAACCAGGAAUUCCUAGUAAUCGCAAAUCAACAUUUUGC